GAUGAACGCUGGCGGCGUGCCUAAUACAUGCAAGUCGAGCGAACGGACGAGAAGCUUGCUUCUCUGAUGUUAGCGGCGGACGGGUGAGUAACACGUGGAUAACCUACCUAUAAGACUGGGAUAACUUCGGGAAACCGGAGCUAAUACCGGAUGAUAUUUUGAACCGCAUGGUUCAAAAGUGAAAGACGGUCUUGCUGUCACUUAUAGAUGGAUCCGCGCUGCAUUAGCUAGUUGGUAAGGUAACGGCUUACCAAGGCAACGAUGCAUAGCCGACCUGAGAGGGUGAUCGGCCACACUGGAACUGAGACACGGUCCAGACUCCUACGGGAGGCAGCAGUAGGGAAUCUUCCGCAAUGGGCGAAAGCCUGACGGAGCGACGCCGCGUGAGUGAUGAAGGUCUUCGGAUCGUAAAACUCUGUUAUUAGGGAAGAACAUAUGUGUAAGUAACUGCGCACAUCUUGACGGUACCUAAUCAGGAAGCCACGGCUAACUACGUG
Molecule: ribosomal RNA, 497 nt
Filed under: uncultured bacterium
Lineage: Bacteria
Description: partial 16S ribosomal RNA
Rfam family: Bacterial small subunit ribosomal RNA
Source: RNAcentral